This 370-nucleotide ribosomal RNA is filed under the name uncultured organism. RNAcentral's name for it is "bacterial SSU rRNA". It matches the Rfam family "Bacterial small subunit ribosomal RNA", at positions 526 to 896 of the family's 1533-position model. The record is from RNAcentral.
CGUAGGGUGCGAGCGUUAAUCGGAAUUACUGGGCGUAAAGCGUGCGCAGGCGGUUUUGUAAGACAGAUGUGAAAUCCCCGGGCUCAACCUGGGACCUGCAUUUGUGACUGCAAGGCUAGAGUACGGUAGAGGGGGAUGGAAUUCCGCGUGUAGCAGUGAAAUGCGUAGAUAUGCGGAGGAGCACCGAUGGCGAAGGCAAUCCCCUGGACCUGUACUGACGCUCAUGCACGAAGGCGUGGGGAGCAAACAGGAUUAGAUACCCUGGUAGUCCACGCCCUAAACGAUGUCAACUGGUUGUUGGGUCUUUACUGACUCAGUAACGAAGCUAACGCGUGAAGUUGACCGCCUGGGGAGUACGGCCGCAAGGUUG